Molecule: ribosomal RNA, 320 nt
Filed under: uncultured eukaryote
Lineage: Eukaryota
Description: partial 18S ribosomal RNA
Rfam family: Eukaryotic small subunit ribosomal RNA
Source: RNAcentral
CCCUUAGAUGUUCUGGGCCGCACGCGUGCUACACUGAGUGGAUCAGCGGGUCAGGUUGCGCGAAAGCGUUUCCUAAUCUUUAAAUCCGCUCGUGAUGGGGAUAGAUUAUUGCAAUUAUUAAUCUUCAACGAGGAAUUCCUAGUAAGCGCGAGUCAUCAGCUCGUGCUGAUUACGUCCCUGCCCUUUGUACACACCGCCCGUCGCUCCUACCGAUUGAGUGCUCAGGUGAAUAAUUCGGACUGCAGCAAUGUUUGGAUCCCGAACGUUGCAGCGGAAAGUUUAGUGAACCUUAUCACUUAGAGGAAGGAGAAGUCGUAACA